CUCAAUUUAGGAAAUACUGAGCACUCGCUCGCCAAAAUUACGCCUGCUCUGCGGGCGAUCAGCCGCUUUAUCUACGGCAAUGUCCGCUUAUUAUACACCAUAACCAGGGUUUACAUGGGAAUCUAAACAAGGUUCGUGACUUCCACCAUACCGAGAUUUAGCUCUGUCGAAUAAGCAGAGAAAUUUGUCAGGAAACUCUCAAGAGGUCAACACACCGACAAAGAAGAGUGGUAAUGCGCGAGGUCAACUCACCGACAAACAAGAGCGGUUAUGCUAGAGCUUGAAGAAAGUUCGUAUAAUGACUGACGAAAGUAUUGCUAGUUCCUACGGAGCUACUGACAGUACACAACUUAUCAAUGAAGACGAACAAGAAACAAGAGAACGGAGUUUAGACUCCUUCUACGACGACCAAUCGAAGGGCACUGGGGACCAGAGAAUUCUACAGGGUACAGAUGAUGAAAAACGGGAAUCAGUUGAGAAUAAUGAAGAGGAAAAUGAGGGAAAACCCUGUGACGAAUCUAGUCUUUCAACUAGUAAUAGCGAAGAGCAAUACAUUCGGUCAGAAGAGAAAUCACAGAGACCCACCUGUUUGUCAUUCAGUAACGAUCAUGCACCGGGCGAGAGUCAUCACGGGGCUAUUACGCCUAGUCGGCGGCAGGUUUCAUUUAUCAGAGAAGCCAAUCAAAACGAAUCUUGUGACGCCCACCUAUCAUCAGACUCUUUGUCACGCGUUCGGGCCAUUACGAGCGGCAGUGUGUAUUACCGAACGCAUAGCGAUGCGGAGGAAUGUAAUGAAAGCGAACAGAGUUGUUGCCGUAGUAAUUCACAAAUACAACGGAGAAGAAGGCACACCAAACGUGGAGCAGUAGUUUCGGAUUCUUUCGUCAACGAAUGUAUCUGCUGCUGUGUAAUUAUUUAGAAAGUAGGUCCAUUUCUGCCUUUUUCUAACCGUACUCUAGCUAAAACUCGUGGAGAACACGCAGUUGAUAUCGACAAGUUUCGCGACAACGUCGCUCAGACAGUUUUCAAUCUUGAACUCCCAGGAGUGAUAAGCAUCUAAUUUCUCCCUACGAGAUCACCUGAGUCAAACGUUUAGAUGAGAAUAAAGUUCAUGAUCACCAACUACAAAGCUUGUUUUCGGUGGCACUCAUCCAGAUUUGUGAGAAGAGGGGAAUAGGGGUCAGAGCCACCUUAACUUUCGCUCUUUAUCUCCUUCAGUUAGGCGUAAACCUUUAUAAAAGUGUAGCUAGAUCAACUCUUCUUUAUAUUAUUAAAUGCAAUGGAGUCACCGAAUAAUUUCAUUUCAUUUUUUUCGACAGAAUUUACCAAUAUGGCGAAAUUGUAAAAAAAUAACUGAAAAAUUCACCGGAGCCGAUAGUCGGGCAGAAAUUAUAAAAAUUGCCACGGAUGCACAGUGCACAAAACAGCGUGAAACGCACUCGAUUCCCUUUCGAUCGAGGAACCUGACAGAAUUAAUGAUAAAAACAAACGCACCGCCCGAAGUGCAAGUGACCAAGACGCGGUUGAUUUUAGUUUUGCAUGCGACUGGUUCGUUGUUAGGGUGGCGCUAGUAUUCUAAAACAAUCACA
Molecule: long non-coding RNA, 1589 nt
Filed under: Stylophora pistillata
Lineage: Eukaryota; Metazoa; Cnidaria; Anthozoa; Scleractinia; Pocilloporidae
Description: uncharacterized LOC111323678
Source: RNAcentral